ACAGAGGGUGCGAGCGUUAAUCGGAAUUACUGGGCGUAAAGCGUGCGUAGACGGCUAUCUAAGUCGGGUGUGAAAGCCCCGGGCUCAACCUGGGAAUUGCAUUCGAGACUGAAUAGCUAGGGUACGGUAGAGGGAAGUGGAAUUUCCGGUGUAGCGGUGAAAUGCGUAGAUAUCUGGAGGAAUACCGGUGGCGAAGGCGGCAUCCUGGACCAUUACUGACGCUGAGGCGCGAAAGCUAGGGGAGCAAACGGGA
RNAcentral lists this ribosomal RNA (253 nucleotides) under uncultured prokaryote. RNAcentral describes it as "partial 16S ribosomal RNA". It matches the Rfam family "Bacterial small subunit ribosomal RNA", at positions 525 to 777 of the family's 1533-position model. The record is from RNAcentral.